Molecule: long non-coding RNA, 292 nt
Filed under: Prunus persica (peach)
Lineage: Eukaryota; Viridiplantae; Streptophyta; Magnoliopsida; Rosales; Rosaceae
Description: long non-coding RNA (PPER_LNC001066)
Source: RNAcentral
GAAAUUCCUCUUGCUCAGGAAGGAUGUUCUGUCCCCUAACUCGGGACGACUGUUUGGUCCCUCUACGGAAGCCACCACGUUUAGGGCCCAUGCUCACUGUCACAAGAAACAAUUGUUCAGUAAAAUUGGAAAGCACAAAGUGCGGAGUCUACAGGAAGUUAAACCUAAUGCUCUGAUACCAAGUUGAUAGGACCCGACCUAAAUUCUCCUUUGGAAUUCGAGCCGAACCCUGUUCGUGAUCGACACCUGGCGGGUGCCGAGCACAAAUGACCUGGUUGCCCUUCUGGUUACA